Molecule: ribosomal RNA, 404 nt
Filed under: bacterium
Lineage: Bacteria
Description: bacterial SSU rRNA
Rfam family: Bacterial small subunit ribosomal RNA
Source: RNAcentral
GUGGGGAAUAUUGCACAAUGGAGGGAACUCUGAUGCAGCAACGCCGCGUGAGCGAAGAAGGUUUUAGGAUCGUAAAGUUCUGUCCUCAGGGAAGAUAAUGACGGUACCUGAGGAGGAAGCCCCGGCUAACUACGUGCCAGCAGCCGCGGUAAUACGUAGGGGGCGAGCGUUGUCCGGAAUUAUUGGGCGUAAAGGGUGCGUAGGCGGCUGAAUAAGUCAGAUGUGAAAGGUUAAGGCUUAACUUUAAUAAGCAUAUGAAACUGUUCAGCUUGAGUUAAGGAGAGGGGAGUGGAAUUCCUAGUGUAGCGGUGAAAUGCGUAGAUAUUAGGAGGAAUACCAGUGGCGAAGGCGACUCUCUGGACUUAAACUGACGCUGAUGCACGAAAGCGUGGGGAGCAAACAGG